Molecule: RNA transcript, 4517 nt
Organism: Panicum virgatum (switchgrass)
Lineage: Eukaryota; Viridiplantae; Streptophyta; Magnoliopsida; Poales; Poaceae
Gene name: elongator complex protein 1-like
Exons: 5
Source: RefSeq, a predicted model, not a curated record
AUCGUCCUGCAAAGCCCUCCUCGUCCCCGCUCCCCACCCCCGCCCACGACCGCCGCCGCCGCCGCCGCCGCCUCUCUCCCGCCCACGGCAACGGCUCCCUCGGUGCCCUCGCCCGUCAUCGACGAGCCCGAAAAAGCGGAGCGAUCGAUAGAGGGAUUGAAGGCAAGCGAAAGAAAAUCUCCGCGAGCUACUAAACCCCUAAAACCCUCGACGUCGGAGGCGGCGGCGAGAUGAAGAACCUGCGCCUUGUGACGAGGCUCCCGCAGCAGCUACAGCUCCAUCUGGACGGGGAAACCCUCGUCGCCUCCGCGAUCGACGCCGAGCGCCGCCGCGCCUUCUUCGCCUCCUCCGCCAACUUCAUCUAUACCGUCCAGCUCCCCGCCUCCUCCACGCAGGGACAGCAACCACUACCGUGGAGUAAAAUUACUGCUCAAAACUCUGACGCGGUCGUGGAGGAGGUUGUUCUUGAGCCUGGAGAUUGCAUAGUUGCCAUGGAUUAUCUCAUGGAGAAGGAGUCUCUACUCCUUGGUUCAUCGGCUGGUUGCCUGCUCUUGUAUAAUGUGGAGGAAAAAACAACCGAAGUUGUUGGAAGACUGGAAGGUGGUGUCAACACCAUUGCCUCUAGCCCUGAUGGUGCUCUUCUUUCUGUAACCACUGGACUUGGGCAACUGCUUGUCAUCACACAGGAUUGGGAAGUGCUGUUUGAGGCUUCUCUUGAUCCUCAUGAUGCUACCAUAGGCGACAUAGACAGUACCGGUUGUCAGAUACGAAGCUCAAUUUCUUGGCGGGGGGAUGGGAAAUAUUUUGCUACACUUGGGGCCCUUGAUGGCGCUUAUGGCCCCACAAAGCUUACUAUAUGGGAACGUGAAUCAGGAAAGGUUCAUUCAUCUUCAGAUGCCAAACCUUUUAUGGGAGCAUUGUUAGAUUGGAUGCCUAGUGGAGCCAAGGUUGCCACAGCCCAUGAUCGGAGGACAGAGGGAAAAUGCCCUCUCAUUGUCUUCUAUGAAAAGAAUGGCUUAGAGAGGAGCUACUUUUCUAUUGAUGAGCCAGGAGAGGUUGCCAUUCGUGCUUUAAAAUGGAACUGCAAUUCCGAGAUCCUUGCUGCUCUAGUUUCUUCUGAACAGCAUGAUGUUAUUAAAAUAUGGUCCUGCAGGAACAAUCACUGGUACUUGAAACAUGAACUGCGGUACACAAAGGAAGAGAGGGUAAAGUUCUUUUGGGAUCCAACGAAACCAAUGCAUCUGAUUUGCUGGACACAGGGUGGCCAAGUCAUUAUUCACAGGUUUGCUUGGACUACCGCAGUCAGUGAGACUUCAGUUGCACUUGUUAUCGAUGGUUCCCAUGUUCUUGUUACUCCUCUUAAUUUGGGCCUCAUGCCAUCUCCCAUGUCUCUGUUCCACCUUGCAUUUCCUUGUGCAGUGAAUGAGGUUUCUUUUGUGUCCAGUAACUCAAAGGCCCACUUGGCUGCUUAUCUCUCAAAUGGCAGCUUGUGUGUAGUGGAGCUUCCAGCACCAGAUACUUGGGAAGAAUUUGAAGGCAACAGGAUAAAUGUUGACCCUUGCUGUUCUGACUUCACUUUGGAUAACUGUAUGCACCUUGCUUGGAUAGAUACACACACCUUGAUUGGCAUCUGUUGCUAUAGCGAACACUGCUGUUCAACACCGAUUGGGUCCAGUGAAACUAGUAACCUGGUACACAAAAAUGAUUCACUGUUUUCCAUCAAUGAGAUUGAACUUGUAUGUCCAGAGGAUUCUGUGCCAGGUUCAGUGAUUUCAUCUGGUUGGCAAGCUAGAGUAUCUAAGAAAGUGCCAUUGCAGAAUGCGGUGAUUGGAGUCUGUCCAAAUCCAGCAAAAGAAGGUUCCGCCUUCAUUCAAAUUAGUGGAGGAAAGAUUGCUGAGUACUGUUCAAGUUUAAAUCUGUUGAAAAUGUCAGCACAAUUCAGUGAGGUUGAUUCUGACAAUGGUUUUCCAGCAGCAUGUCCUUGGAUGACUGCAGUUCUGUGCCAUGAAAAUGGUAUGGCUCAACCCUUUCUCUUUGGACUUGAUGAUAACAGCAACCUUUAUAUGGGCAAAAGGUUAUUGAGCAACAACUGCAGCAGCUUCACAUUCUACUCCAGUGCUUAUGGAACCACCGAGCGGGUUAUGAGCCACUUACUAGUGGCUACUAAGAAAGAUCUUCUAUUCAUUGUGGAUGUCAAUGAGAUCUUUCUUAAAGACAAUGAGGUGACAGUUGACAGCCAUGUCAGUAGCCAUCCUCGAGGAAAGCAAAGCAAAGAGCACAUCACUGUGUGGGAAAAGGGAGCAAAGUUGGUUGGUGUUCUCCAUGGUGAUGAAGCAGCUGUUAUAAUGCAAACUACACGUGGUAACUUAGAGUGUACUUACCCUAGAAAGCUGGUCCUUGUUUCAAUUGUUCAGGCAUUGGCUCAGAGGCGUUUCAAAAAUGCAAUGGACAUGGUGAGGCGGCAUCGGAUAGACUUCAAUAUCAUUGUUGAUUAUUGUGGUUGUAAUGUUUUUAUCAAGUUAGCAGCAGAUUUUGUCAAACAAGUUAAUAACCUUAGCCACAUCACUGAAUUUGUUUGCUCAAUGAAGAACAGCAAUGCCAGCAGCAAAUUGUAUGAAGCCUAUAUAUCUUUUCCUGAUCACUGUGCGGACUCGAUGGUUGAUACUGAGUGCAACAAAGUCACUUCUGUACUGAUGGCAGUUGGAAAAGCCCUUGAGGAACAAAUGGAAGAGAGCUCAUCAAGAGAACUUUGUGUACUGACCACUUUAGCCCGUAGUGAACCUCCAUUAUUGGAGGAAGCACUAAACAGAAUAAAAGCAAUUCGAGAAUUGGAACUUCGUGGUGUCGAUGAUGCCAGGAGAAAGCUUUACCCUUCUGCUGAAGAGUCUUUGAAGCACUUGCUUUGGUUAACGGACACUGAAGCUGUUUUCGGUGCUGCUUUGGGGUUGUACGAUCUGAAUCUUGCUGCUAUCGUUGCUUUGAAUUCCCAAAAAGAUCCAAAAGAGUUCCUCCCUUUUCUCAAGAGUCUUGAAUGUCUUCCCCCUGCUGUCAUGAGAUACACGAUUGAUUUAAGGCUUGGAAGAUACGAGAGUGCCCUCAGAAACAUUGUUUCUGCUGGUAACGAGUACCACGAGGAUUGCAUGAAGCUCCUUAAUGCUAAUCCUCAGCUGUUCCCACUGGGCCUCCAUUUAUUUAAUGAAUCAGAUAAAAGGAAUGAAAUUCUUGAGGCAUGGGGCGACCAUCUUUCUGAAGAGAAAUGCUUUGGAGAUGCCGCAUUGACUUACCAGUGCUGUUCGUCAUAUCAGAAAUCAUUGAAAGCAUACCGUGCUUGUGGGGACUGGAAAGGUGUGUUUACUGUUGCAGGUCUUUUGGAGUUAGAAAAGGAAGAAAUUACUCAGCUUGCACAUGAGUUAUGUGAUGAGUUCCAAGCUCUCGGCAAGCGAGGAGAUGCUGCUAGAGUAGCACUGGAGUAUUGUUCAGAUGCCGAGAGAGGUGUAAGUUAUUAUAUCACGGCAAGAGAAUGGGAAGAGGCUCUUAGAGUUGCUUAUAUGCUUAGCAGGCAUGAUCUGGUUGGAACUGUUAGAGAUGCAGCUUUGGAUUGUGCUGCAUCACUGAUAUCUGAGUACCAGGAAGGACUCUUGAAGGUUGGUAAAUAUGUAUCACGUUAUGUGGCUGUGCGGCAGAGGAGAUUGUCCCUUGCUGCCAAACUCCAGUCAGAAGAUCGGUUUAUGGAUGUUGAAGAUGACAGCGUUUCAGAAGUGAGCACUAGCUUCAGUGAAAUGAGCGCAUAUACUACAAGUGUGGAGCGCUGAAUUCUGUAUGGACAGGUCAACCAAGGAGUCAAGUGCCUCAGUCAUAUCCAGCAGAGCCAGCAAGUCACGAGGAGCAAGGCGACAAAAAAAAGGUGGCAAGAUACGAGCUGGAAGUCCUGGGGAGGAGAUGGCCCUUGUGGAGCAUCUCAAGGGGAUGGCACUGACAGGCAGUGCCGAAAGUGAGCUGAAGAGCCUUCUCGUGGUUCUAAUACAACUGGGGAAAGAAGAAACUGCCCGUCAGGUGCAGCAGGCUGCAGAUAACUUUGAAGUGUCUCAAAGGGCUGCAGUGAAGUUGGCUGAGGAUACAGUAAGUAAUGACAAGGUAGAUGAGAACGCUCACACCCUUGAGCAUUAUAUAAGAAUGCUGAGGGCUCAUGGGUCAGGUCAUAGCGAGACUGGUUCAUGGCGAAUCAAGGCAUUGUCUCCCCCUUGAGGGUUUGUUUGUUUGGUCCCCUCCCCUUUGAGUGGGAUUAUUAGUUGCAGGGGAUUUCAAUCUAAUUGUAAAAGAGGAGCACAGUUCUGCUAUCACUGAACAUUGUGAGCAGAUCAAACACCAGUCUUCUGUUAUACAUGUUUUAAUGUCUUGUGUACCCAGCCAUUAUUGCCAUUUGCUAUUCGCAUACACCGAAUGGUUGGAGCUAUUAUGUCAAUCUCUAUUGAUGAAAUCAAGGAUAUAGAAGGCGGACAAAUUUCAUUUGCAUUAUC